CUCAUGAACAGAAACACUACCUUUCCUCUUCGAACUCUCUCUCUCUUUUAUACGCAGCUGAGAUUCAUUCCUGCAACUGAAUCUUCAUCUACGUUUCAGGCAAUUUCAAAACAUCUAUGAAGAAGAUGGAGAUUUAGAUCAAUUUUUCUCCCCUUAUACGAUUAGGAUCUAUUCUGUGUUGGCUUUUGCGUGUACUUUACUUGCGCGCCUAAUGUUCGAAAGCUGUGAGAUUUAAACUCAGUGGUGAAGCAAGAACGAAAACAGGACGAGCAGGGGAAACUAGCAAGUGCGGUACUUAGGAUGAAGAUGGGAAACUAGAGAGAGUGCGGUGAUUUUUAAGUUGUCGAGGUUGGUAAGUGCGAAAGGGUAUGGUAAUACUCUUUUGAACUGAAAAUCAGACCAAGCAGAUGUUUGUUUGCGUUUCUUCAGAUACAGGAUGCUUCUGGAACCUGCUAUUGUUGCUCAUUAUCUCUCACUCCUUUAAGUACAAUAGAUUGCAAGUGAGGCUGUCAUGGAAGAGAAAGGGUGGAUAAAUAACCAUUUUAACUCUUUGUGUGUUUUUUACUUGGGGAAUUCAGUUUAACAUGUUUGUGGUGAUCGGAUUUAUAAAUAGUGGCGAGAUGAAGAAGCUCUCCUUCCUGUUUGUAAUGGGAACUAAUAAUACGAUGGUAAUGAACGUUGAGUACCUAUAUGUGAAAUCUUGAUUGAUCUGAGAAUGAUGGCAGACAAACUUAACAGUAGUUUGAUAACACUUUUAUUGUUGUAAGAAGAUCAAUGGUCUUGUCCAUUCCAAACUUUUUCAGAUAAAUCGCCAAAUUGCUUCA
This is a long non-coding RNA of Papaver somniferum (opium poppy), 824 nucleotides long. RefSeq lists it as uncharacterized. The record is from RefSeq and is a predicted model, not a curated record. NCBI's taxonomy places the organism in Eukaryota, Viridiplantae, Streptophyta, Magnoliopsida, Ranunculales, Papaveraceae. The transcript has 3 exons.